GACGAACGCUGGCGGCGUGCUUAACACAUGCAAGUCGAACGGAAAUGCCCUGCUUUUGUGGGGUGCUCGAGUGUCGAACGGGUGAGUAACACGUGAGUAACCUGCCCUUUACUUUGGGAUAACUUCAGGAAACUGUGUCUAAUACCGGAUAGGAGCUCCUUCUGCAUGGUGGGUGUUUGAAAGUUUCGGCGGUUGGGGAUGGACUCUCGGCUUAUCAGCUUGUUGGUGGGGUAGUGGCUUACCAAGGCUUUGACGGGUAGCCGGCCUGAGAGGGUGACCGGCCACAUUGGGAAUGAGAUACGGCCCAGACUCCUACGGGAGGCAGCAGUGGGGAAUAUUGCACAAUGGGCGGAAGCCUGAUGCAGCAACGCAGCGUGCGGGAUGACGGCCUUCGGGUUGUAAACCGCUUUCGCCUGUGACGAAGCGUGAGUGACGGUAAUGGGUAAAGAAGCACCGGCUAACUACGUG
RNAcentral lists this ribosomal RNA (468 nucleotides) under uncultured bacterium. RNAcentral describes it as "partial 16S ribosomal RNA". It matches the Rfam family "Bacterial small subunit ribosomal RNA", at positions 28 to 507 of the family's 1533-position model. The record is from RNAcentral.